UUGAGUAACAGUGCAAUGUGAAGUCAUCUGACUAUCUAUCUUUGUCACUUAAAGGGAAGACGACACCUAAAGAUGAAGCAAACUUGGAGGGAAACAGAUCUGACAGAUGGAGGGAGAAACUGAUUCCUAAUCACAUUGUUUGAAUGCUUGGGACCUGCCAUUUACGAGGUAUUUCAUAGAGAAGCCACAGAAGAUCAUUUUCAUAUUUUGCAAAUGAAAUGACAGUACUGGAGUAGUUUCCCAUAAUGGAGAUGCUUUGGGCAAUUGACAACUAUUAUAUGACUCAUCAUCUUCAAAUAAUUUACCCACUAGAGAUGAAAGACUUGUGGACUUCCAUCUUUCUUUGGCCCUCACAAUUUUUCUCUUCCACCACCAAUAAAAUAGUCACACAUAAUCACAAUCCUAUUAUGUGCAAAGACUUUGAAGUACAGGGGUCCCUGGCUUCCUGCAGUCCAGCAUCCACAGAGCAUAUUGAGUGAAAUAUUGACAUCUUCAGGUACUCCUUAGAGGACCAAUGAUUUGUGGUUUUGUAGACUGUUUUUAUGGGAAUUGAAUGGUAAAUGCAACUGCCAUGAAAUGGCUUGAAUUGUCACAUUGAUGAAAAUGCGUUUGCUAAGUGAUUUUGUAAAUUACUUUAUGGAGUAUAAAACAUCUGCAUUUAGUUGGAUUCUAUUUGGCUGAAUAAAAAUACUUCCAAUUCAAACCUCUUGUAUCUGAUAAUGACAAUGUACUGGAAAACCUGAAAUUGCAUAAGACAAUCUAAACAUGUUUUCUUUUAUAAAGCAGAUAGCACUGUUAGUAUGUGGCAUACUAGAUUGUGCUCACUAAAGUGACAAAUUCUUCCUAAGGUUAUAUAAAUGCCACACUACGCAUUUUCACUUAUAUGUCCAAAUAACACACAGCAUCCGAUAAGUGCUGGGAUAUAAGAAGAUAACUCCUAGGUCUACUUUUCAAAAAUGCCAAUUGUAAGAAUAAAAUGCUUUCUUACAAGAACAUGAAAUGAUAGUAAGACAGUAUUCUUUUAAAUUGCCUAAAAAAUGAAAGGAAAAUUUGAUUGCUUGCUAAUUUUGUGUUGUUUAUCUAUAGAAUAUUAAAGUCAGAGAAAAGCGUAGGAAAAAAAAUGUUCCAAGAGUCCAGAGAUGGUAUAGCUUUAUACACAGAAAUUUCCACCAGAGGUUUCCUAUCAAAAAACACUAAGAGAAGACUAGGUGUAUUAUGAUCAAUUCUUUUUUAUUUAAAGAUUUAUUUAUUUAUUUGAAAAGCAGACUUACAGAAAUUCAGAGGCAGAAGGAGAGGUCUUCCAUUUGCCAGUUUACUGCCCAGAGGGCUGCAAUGGCUGGAGCUGCGCCAAUCCGAAGCCAGGAGCCUAGAGCUUCUUUCUGGUCUCCCACGUGGAUGCAGAGGCCCAAGGACCUGCACCAUCCUCCACUGCCCUACUAGACCAUAUCAGAGAACUGGAUCGGAAGUGGAGCAUCUGGGACUUGAACUGGUGCCCAUAUGGGAUGCUAGCACCACAGACAGCAGUUUUACCUGCCACACCACAGUGUCAGUCCCUGUGAUCAAUUCUAAACGAGACUGUCUUACAGAGAUAUGCGAGAAUACCAAGUGUGAAACAGGUGUUGUGACAGCUCAUGAAAUACCUGCACCUUCAUAUAAUUUACUAUCCAUAGUAACCCCCAGUAUUCUGUUUGAAGGAAAUCUUUCUAUGGUGUGAAUCACAGGCUGUCUAUGCAACCAGAUCCCCUCCUAUUCUUAUAGCUCACUAGUUCUCCCUUCAGUGUAAACAGUAACAUUAUUUCAACACUUAGUAAAUCAUGAAUUUUAUAGUAGUUUAUAAUCACUAGGACAAUACUGUUGUGUCUUUUAGCAUAUGUAAUUUGAGCUAAUUAAAAUAUCUUAUGAUGGAGCUGGUGCUGUGGAGCAGUAGGUUGAGCAUCUGUCUAAGGUGCCGGCAUCCCAUAUGGGUACCAGUUGGAGUCCUGUCUCUGCUAAUGGCCUGGGAAAGCAGUGGAAGAUGAGCUAAAUAUUUGGGCUGCUGCAUCCACGUGGGAGAUCUAAAAGAAGCUUCUGGUUCCUGGCUUCAGAUCAGCUCAGCUCUGGCCACUGGGGCCAUUUGGAAAGUGAACUAGCGGAUGGAAGACCUCUCUCUCUGUCUCUCCCUUUUUCUGUUUGUAACUCUGCCUCUCAAAUAAACAAAUAAAUAAAUCCUUAAAAAUAUCUAUUGCAAACAAACAGGCAAUAUCACUAAAACAGAGGAAUAGAAGUGCUACUAUUAGAUUUAUA
Non-coding RNA from Oryctolagus cuniculus (rabbit), 2283 nucleotides. Lineage: Eukaryota; Metazoa; Chordata; Mammalia; Lagomorpha; Leporidae. The record is from RefSeq and is a predicted model, not a curated record.